RNAcentral lists this long non-coding RNA (5725 nucleotides) under Sus scrofa (pig). RNAcentral describes it as "lncRNA (ENSSSCG00040059810.1)". The record is from RNAcentral. Lineage: Eukaryota; Metazoa; Chordata; Mammalia; Artiodactyla; Suidae.
UUUUUUUAUUUUUGUUGUUGCUAAUUUUAUUUUUACUAGAGUAUAGUUCAUCUGCAGUGUUGUGUCAAUUUCUGCUAUACAGCCUAGUGACCAAGUCAUACAUACACUGAUAUAUAUAUAUAUAUCACAUAUUAUGUAUAAAACAUUAUUUACAUGUAAAACAUUUACAUAAUAUAUACAUAUAUAUAACAUUUAUAUAUGUUAUAUAUAUAUAACAUUCUUUGGAUUGUGCGGUCUCUAUUGUUUCUGGAGGCCAUAGAAAAUUUCCCAUGGACCUAGCUGGGGUGGCCAAGGGCGAGGGGUGGGGAGGCUCAGUCACAGGGAUCUUGGCAGUGGCAUCAGCUUGACCAUCUAACCCUAUUUUCCAAAGGUAAUAUCCAGCUCUCUACCCCCCCCAUCCCCCUACAGGUUGAGAGUAAGGUUUCUUAGUCAGACAAGGGUUUGACAAAGUCUGGCUUCCCCACUUACUAGGUGAGACCUCAGGCAAGUCACUCAACUUUCCCAAAUCUCAGCUGCCCCCUGUGGAAAGUGAGUAUAAUACCACCCACUUCUCUAAGUCAUUAUAAGGACCAACUAGGCUGCCUAGUAAAGAAGCAGCCUGGGGUUAGACAAAGGGCAACACCUCGAUAAUGGUACCCAGGAGGAGGUGGCUAAGUGUUAGCAUGAGCAGUAGUAUUAGAAUUUUAUCUUGUCCAAAAUACACAGAGGAAAUCCUCGCUGGUCCAGCUUUGACUUUUGAACUUCAUACCUUUUGUAUUUAGUGAUAAAGUGUCCGAUCACCAAAUCACGUUUGGAGUGUAUGUGCACAUACACACACACACACACACCAUCAUCACCCCUCUUCUAAACAUCACAGUAACAGCAUACAUCCAUGGGGAAGCUAGGGAUCAAAGGUCAAACGCCUGCCAUCAGGUCACUCCACUAGCAAAGCAAGAAACAGAUUUGAAAUGAGUGUCUGCAACUAAGCCACAACCCAUCAGGUACAUUCGCCCCGUUCUUUUCUUCACAUCAUAUUACAGAUGCUAAACAGAAGCUCUGAAGGUUUACUUCUUGUCCAUUUCCAGGUACAUGGAUGAAUCCCUGGCGCCCCUGCCUCUCACACAGUGAGGAUCUCACUUCCCUGCAAAUACCUUCCCUUCCCUGCAAAUAUCUUCUUGUGGGGGCGUGCAGUGCACUCAUAAAUGCGUUCAUCCCCCCUUCUAAGUAAAUAAACCUUGAGAUCAUAUGUCUUUCAAUAAAGAUGUCCCUUCAGAGUUCCUGCUGUAGCACAAUGGGAUCGGCCACGUCUUGCGAGUGCUGGGACACAGGUUCAAUCCCUGGCCCAGCUCAGGAGGUUAAGGAUCUGGCAUUGCCGCAACUGCGACACAGGUCACCACGGAGGCUCAGAUAGGAUCCCUGACCCGGGAACUCCACCCAGGGUGGCCAAAAAAAGGAAAAAAAGAAGGAUGUUCCUUCACACACCCACCUGAGGUUUGCUAAACAGCAAUCCUGUCCUUAGAUGAUUCUUCUCCUACUGACAAGCUCUGCAGUCCCAAUUCACCUCGAAUAUCUGCAUCACCCUCGACAGCCUGUUUCUUGUGCUGAAAUGACAAUAGGCAUCUCCUCUGCAGGAGCUUGUACUCAUGCUAUGUGUGCUCCUGGUUGAUCAGGGUGCAGGUGUUCUUUCCCUUAGAGAUGUGAUCUCUUUGGAUUCCUCCAGGCUCCUUUGUAAGCCUCGUCUUUUUCGGGUUGCCUCUGACUGCCCGACAGCUCUGUCCCAAGCUCCAGGCUCUCUCCCUCUCCUCUCCUGUGUCUCUCCACCUUCCUUCUCCAAGUCCAGUCCUACCUACAGCUGGCCCUGACAUUUCCAUCUGCUUUGGUCUCAGCCUCCACCUUUCUCUGAAGGCUUCCCUCCCUGUUCUCUCCUCCUCUGUGCACCUGAGAUGUGAGCAAGGAAGCCUGGUUUCCCAUCAGCACAGUUCCUUUUCCCUUGCAUUGCUUCUGGUUUUGUUUUGUUUUUUUUUGUUUGUUUUUUUUGUUUUUGUUUUUUUUUUUGGUCUUUUUGUCCUUUAGGGCCACACUUGCAGCACAUGGAGGUUCCCAGGCUAGGGCCCAAUCACAACUGCAGCCACCAGACAAUGCCACAGCCACAGCAAUGCGGGAUCCGAGCAGCAUCUGCAACCUAUACCACAGCUCACGGCAAUGCCAGAUCCCCCACCCACUGAGAGAGGCCAGGGGUCGAACCCUCAUCCUCAUGGAUACUAGUCAGGUUCACUAACAGCUGAGCCACAAUGGGAACUCCCCUUCCUUGCCUUGCUUCUUACGCCUCUUGUUUAUCCCUUGUUAUUUUACCACUUUGCUUCCCUGGGACCCUAAAUCUCUCAUCUCCGCAGAAUCCCGAUCCCUCCCCCAAACUUCUCCGUCUCCUCCCCAGUCUGAAGCCUCAACAACAUUAUUUCAAAACGUGUUGCCAGCUCUGCCUCUUUCUGUCUUCCUCUUUCUGUCAGGCCCCUUGAAGUUGUCCCAGCUGUGCUUGCCUCCUUUUUAUGUCAGUCUUUUAGAAACACAUUCAAAGAGAGUCUCUUUUACGCCACAAGGGUAACUGUCACUUUGUGCCUCAACCCUUCGUCUCAUUUUAAAGGAGGCAUAGUUGAGACCUUGUUUUGUGCGCCCCAAACACAUACAUCCUCUCCCUGCCAUUCCUGCUGUCACUCUCUUGGCUCCAGUCCUAAUUAUUUCUCUCCUACUCCCCUAACCCACAUCUCUGACUUCUUUCUUGUCAAUUUCCAUCUGCCCUUCACACCCUCGCCUCUAGACUGACUCCAAAAAGCAAAUGUGAUCCAUUAAUUCCCCAGAUUACAAGGCUCCAAUGGCUUCCCAUGACUUUCAGCACAGGGGCUAAACUCGCUAGCAGGGAAAGCAAGGCAUUUCGUGAUCUGGUCUCUGCCUAUGACUGACUACAAAGCUCCAAUCUCUCUGUUCCCCACCACGGAGGCUCAGUGCAGUCAGUAACGUGGGACCCCUCUGCACUGAUGUGGGUGCAACCAGUCCAUGCUUCCGUGCCUCUAAAUAUGAUGUUCUUGAGUUAGGAAGGCCCAUUUUAGAGAGCUGAAUAGAGAGAAAGAUAGAUAACCCUUAUUAUACUUUAUCUUUGGUCCCAUUCUCCUUCUAGCCUCAGGUCGACAAAUGGAAUGAAGGAUGGAUGGAGGGAGAAAUGACACAAGGAAGAAGGGAGCAGGCAACUGCACACUAUAAUCAGGUAAUUUCUCAACCAACACAUAAUUUCUAACCCAGUAUCGAUUAUAACUAAAUUGUUCUUCAACUGAAAUGUAAGGCAGGUAUCUAGCCCUAUACUUCCCUUGGCACAGUCCUUUGGAUACCCAGUCGCCCCAAUAUAAACCCGCAUGAUAAUAACAACAAUAAAAAUAAUGGCUCAUGUAUCAUACUCCAGAAAACUUCUGAGUUCUUUACCUACAUUAAUUCGUCUAUAUCUCAGUAAAUGCUGAGGAAGCACAACUACGUUAAUUUGCUCAAAGCCAUAUAGCUUCCAGUGGAGGAGCCAGAGCUCACACCCCAAAGCCAAUGCUCUUAACUUGGGCACCAAUAUGGCAUCUGUGAUCUGCUAUUUUAAGCGGUACUAUUAACACAUACCAAAAUCUCUUCAACAAGUCUUCAAUCUCUCAUGUGCUUCAUGUCUCAUUACAGACAAUGAGGGUUUGGGCCCUGCAUGGGCCUCUUAAAUAGACCAUAACCUUCUUCCAGAAGCCCAUUGCAGUGAAAAGAAUGAGGAGUUUGAAUCGGAAAGCCUGAUGGGAUUCAAGUUCUAUUUAUGUCAGUAGCUGUGUGGCCUGAAGGCAAAGCAUUUAACUUGGUCCUCAGUUUCUGCCUGUAAUGAAGAUAUUACCACCAACCCUCAUACGGAUGCUCCAAAGUCUACAUGAGAUAAAGUCUAUAAAAAUAUAAUACAAAGGUACACAUUUCAGUUCUAGCAGUUCUCAUCAGACACAACACCCAUGAUUAUUCUCCUAAUAUGAAUGUCACCUGGAGCUCCUUAGUUCCUGGAUAAUGAAAUCCUGCAAGCAGGUGCCCUGAAUAUAUCCCCAUGAUGUGACUAAUCAGAGCCCUGGCAUGAAACUUUUUUUUCCUUACGACAAGACUUAUGCUGCAUGAAGUUCCUCCUCCUUGCAAAUCUUCCCUUGGAGGGCGUUUGCAGAGAUGAUUUCAGCUUCCACCUCAAGAAUAAGAUAAAGAGAAACCAAGCAGAAAGAGAAAGAAAAGUCAGCUUUGGUCCUUUUCCUUUCAUUGUCCAACCUAUCAUGACUCUCCUAAUUUUCAUCCUUUUUUUUUUUUUUCCCUUUGCUAUGUUUUUCCUCUUCUCCCAGCUUACUCUUCACAAACUGCAACCAUGCUUACUACAGUCCUAGCUGGUGCCAAGGAGGAAAUGUGCUUCCAGGGUAUCUAAAUCCCCAGCUCUCUUCCUCCAGCUGUGGCUGUUUCUCCUUCCAUGUCCGCAUGCCCCAUGGCUCACAUGACCAACUCACUGGCAUCCUUCUAACCUCUAAGGAUCCACAGUCUCAUUUUCUGUAAAUAGGUGAAGUCCUUCAGCCCUGUUCCUGGUGACCACGCUUUUCCUCCAGCUGUGCAGGAAAAACUCAACUGACCCUUACCAUAGCCAGCCAGCCACAGAGCUGGGAUUUGAACCCAGGUCCCCUGCCCACAACCAAAGCUCAUUCCAGAAGAGCAGCGGAGCUCUACAUUUUCCAUCCAUUCCCAGAAUGUUCAUUAGUUCACAAGUGUUUAAUGGCCCAGUACUAUGCUUGGCACUGGCUAUACUCUAAGAGGCAAGCGAGAUUCUAAAUACACUCAGAGAGGGAUGAACAAGGGCUGCAACAGAGGCAUCUGUUACCUCCUUAUCAUGUAUUUUGCAGAAAGGACACAGCGCUCAAGCACACAGUAACUCACAGGUGUUCAUUACAGAAUCUAUCAUAUGUAACUUAAUCUAAAGGAACAAUCAAGUCACGCUGUUGGCCACUGCAUCCUCAAGAUCUAGCGCCCUGCUUGGCAUAUGGGAAGCAUAUUAAAAUAUCAAUUAAUUAAUGCCUUCCUGUAUUUAGUUAGGCUUGAAUCGCCAAGUGCACGGGGUUCUGAAUGUUUCUUGGUUCAUUUAUGUACUUAACCAACACUUACUGAACACUUACUGUGUUGGGCAACAGUUCAGGACCCCAGAGAUGUCUUGAUGCUCUCAGGUAAAAAUAACUUCAUAUAUGACAUCUGAAGCAUUCAUUUCUCCAAGCAUUUUACACAGACAGAUGAAUAAACACCACACAUACACACAGAGGAGGCAACUUUCUGUUGUUGGAAAAUUGCAUUUUUAUGGCAAAACACAGUGUUCAUGCCAAAAAUAACUUCAAUCACAUUCUUUUUCUUUCUUUUUUUUUAGGGCCACAGCCAUGGCACAUGGAAGUUCCCAGGCUAGGGGUCAAAUCAGAGCUGCAGCUGCUGGCCUACACCAUAGCAAUGCCAGAUCUGAGCUGUGUCUGCCACCUACAGUGCAGUUCAUGGAAAGGCCAGAUCCUUAACCCACUGAGUGGGGCCAGGGAUCGAACCUGUGUCCUCAAGCCUCCUAGUUGGGUUCAUUCCCACAAUGGGAACUCCCCAAUCACAAUUCUUAUCAUUUGCUUCUCCUCGAUAAGCUUGGUUUCCAUCAGGCUCUUAGAACAAAAAAGAUGAGGGAAAUUCAUUCUGC